UCUAUUAGUAAUUAUUAAUAGUAAAAUCUGCUCCAUGUCUAAUAAAUAGCCGCAAUUUGUGCUAAGGUAGCAUAAUCAUUUGUCUUUUAAAUGAAGACUAGAACAAAAGAUUUAACAUUUUCAGUUUAUUUCCCUAAUUUACCCAAUUAAAUUUAUCUUAAACGUAAAAAGACAUUUAUUUAAAAGAAAGACGAUAAGACCCUAUUGAACUUAACUGUAGUUAAACUGGGGCAGUAAAUUAAUUAUUAUUUUAAUAUAAAUUAUUAUAAAAAUAUCUAAUAUCAUUAAAUAAUUCAGUUACCAUAGGGAUAACAGCGUAAUAAUUUUCUAAAGACCUUAUUUAAAAUAAAGAUUACGACCUCGAUGUUGAAUUAAUAACCUAAUUAAGGCAAAACUUAAAAAAGGAAGUCUGUUCGACUUUUAAAAAAUUACAUGAUUUGAGUUCAGACCGGUGUAAGCCAGGUCGGCUUCUAUCUUCUAAAAAAUUUUUUACAGUACGAAAGGACCUAAAAAUCUAAUA
This 520-nucleotide ribosomal RNA is filed under the name Habronattus fallax. RNAcentral describes it as "partial 16S ribosomal RNA". It matches the Rfam family "Bacterial large subunit ribosomal RNA", at positions 1832 to 2706 of the family's 2925-position model. The record is from RNAcentral. Lineage: Eukaryota; Metazoa; Arthropoda; Arachnida; Araneae; Salticidae.